Xyrauchen texanus (razorback sucker) is the source of this 3632-nucleotide long non-coding RNA. RefSeq lists it as uncharacterized. The record is from RefSeq and is a predicted model, not a curated record. Lineage: Eukaryota; Metazoa; Chordata; Actinopteri; Cypriniformes; Catostomidae. The transcript has 12 exons.
UGAACUAGACUUUGACCUAAGAUUUUCAAGCAGUCAGUUCAUAAUAUUUGCUCGCAAGCCAUUAAAUAAGAAUGUACUGUAGACUUGAGGAUGUAUCUAAAUGGUAUACUGGAUCACUGAACAUGGGAAUACAUUUUUGAAGGUUGUGUUAUUAGGAUUUAAGGUGUGUGACAUCCCAGUAAAGAGUGUAUAAACCUGUCCAAGUUUUUCCACCAAGAGGCUUUUCCCCUAUGCCAUCCUCCACAUUGUCUGGUAUGUCUUGUCCCAGUAGGAAAUCCAUCUACAUGCAAAGAGUGGAGUAUGCCGAAUCAAUCAGCAGACAGCCAGACAACUUUCAGCACAGAGUGGAGGUAAGAGGAAAUUCAUGAGGAAACUUUAAAAAGUUUAAGAGUUUGUGAAUGGCUACACUUACCAGUUGAAAUAAAAAAGGAUGGUCAGUAAUGUGGUGCAAAAACCAGCUGCUACUGUAUUUCGCCCAGAUUUGACAAGAUGUGUUGUUACUUCAUAUUGCCUUUGCAUCCCUGUGGAAAGGUUAUGUUGUGUUUUGGGUGCUGGUCCUCCAGCAUGGGAUGCUGGUGUGUUUGUCCCCAGCAGGUUUUGAAUCUAGCUUAACCAGCUUCAUCAGAAAGACCAUGCUGGUCGACCAGCUUCAACAGCUAGGUUUUGCUGGCGAAAAAGCAUGGCCAGCACCAAACCAGCAUAAACAAGACUAACACGGGAAUUGCAUGCUGGUUCAACUGGUCUUUGUAGCAGGGAUGGAAGUACAGCAGAAUAUGGUAUGUUACAGAAAGCAAGACAACAUCUAAAGUUUAUCUACCAUGGUAAUAUGUAUAUAUAUCAUCCCGACCAGCCAAUAUCAUGGCUGGUCAUGAUGUUCAUACAAAAAGUAGUGUUUUGAUAGCACCAAUGUAUUAACACUUUUCUGCAGAAUCAACUGACUGAUGGCUUACAUACAGCUGUCUCAGCAUAUUGAGCUGGGAAGUAAUUAAACCUAAAAAAAAAAAAAAAAAAAGUGACACUUCACCUUUAAAUAUAUAAAAAGCUUAACCUUUUUGUUAAAGAAGAAAAUGUUUAAUUGACAUAUUGUGAUGACGGAACAGGAAACACUUAAAACAAUUCUGUGUACUUACUGCACAAAUAACUUUGUUUUCAAUUCCAAAGAGCAUGCUUAAUAUGUGAAAAAAUAUUAAUCCUUCCAGUGAAUUCUUACUGUUUCCUGGAAUUGUAGGAGGUUUUGGAGUCUAUGAAUCUGUGUAGCAUCAAGAAGAUGAAAGCUGUGCUGAACAGCUGUGUGCAUGACUCCUCAUUAUCAUGGUCCAGGAUUUUAGCCAAAGAAUUCCACAGGCCUUUCUGUUCCAGUGCGAGGAGGGAGGGAUAAGAAGCAGACUCUAUUGUUUAUUCACAAAUAUUACUUAUGAAUAUUGAGAUAUGUUUUGUAUUUCCGUCAAAAAUCUGAACAUAGAUCUACCACUGUGUUCUAAAUUUAUCCUAAUGUGGAAUGCUGUGGGAGUUCAAUUGCAUUCCACUCUGUGUUAGUAACCUAAAUAUUUUGUAAAGGCAUCUCUGCCGUUUUAAUUUACCAGGCUCUGGGGUGAUAAAUGAUCUGGACCAGGCAGUAGUGCAAGGUGGAGACUUCACCAAGGAACCACAAAUGGACAUCAGGAACCACCUGGAAAGCAUCAUUUUCCAGGGUUUUACAGGGAGUAUCAAAAGACCAGCUCACUAAUGGCAUCAAUCCCUCUUCCCCCAGAGCAGCUCCUUCCACAGUUCAACAGUUAUGAAGACUAUGAGGACAAAUGGCCUUCACCCACUAUGCCAGCUUCUAGAGAUGAGCAAUACAGCCCAAUGAGCUUUGAGUGGGAGCAGAUCCACCACCUUACACUAACAUGGAAAGAAAUGUGGAAAUCUUUAACCAUGUAGCUGUCGACAUUGAGAUCUUCACAGAAAAAGUUGUCACCACUUUGCAAGGCGAUGAUGGAAACAAGAAAAAGGAAAAAAUGCACGAAAACAAGGAGAAGAUUUUGAAAUGCUACUGAUACAUUACUGCUGUACAUUUGAUCAAAACGACAAAUAAGAUCUGUGCACUGAUUGCUGUGACAUCUUAACAUUUCAAAUGUUUUUUUUUAUUUUUUUUAUAACAGUUGUAAAUCUUCCUUCCAUGGAGGAGUACAUGUCCUGUCUGCAGAAAAUAAAGUGUGGAGUCUUGGGAAAUUAGAUGGUCGCCUUAAAAGACCUCCUGCUCCGGAGUUUGUUCACAGUCUCUUCUCUUGGGUUUGUGAUGGGUCAGUAUCCACACAACAUCCCUUCCACGGUGCUGAUUCCCAUGCUCACAGAAAAAGCCCUGAAGCUCCUGGGAACUUUGGUCACACCAGAGGAGGAUUGACUCUGGGGCUGUUUUGGAGAAUCCUGGAAUGUCCCUAGAUCCCUCCAUAUUAUCCUGUAUUUUACGAUGGGUGGUAGCCCCCUCCACCUGUCCCUACCCAGUCACCCCCCUCAAGCAGGCAGCCAUCACGGAGCAACAGUGAGCGGUUCCCACCCAGGAAUGUCAUGCAGAGGCCACCUGAACAGGUCAAAUCAGAGAGCAAACUUCAACUGAAGCUAAGCAUUCACAACUUGCCAGCGAGGAAGAAUACAACCAAUAUGGUGCCCACUGAUAAUCUGAGCAGGCUCGAUUUUUCUUGGCGUGAACCUGAACAUGUCUGGACCUGAAUAAACAAGAGUUAUGCGGAGAACUUGACAACAUUUCCAUUCUUUAUCAAACAAGACAUGCCGUAUGCCUAACUGCUCAAGUCUAACCAGUUAUGUAAUAUGGACUGCUGGAUGUCUAUGACACGGAGUCAGAAUAAAAAUUUAAUAUUUAUUUUGAUCUACUUUCUUCGAAGGCUGAGGAAAGCACAUCUCCCAACCCCCAUCCUCACUACAUUCUAUAGAGGGACUAUUGAGAGCAUCCUGAGCAGCUGCAUCACUGCCUGGUUUGGAACUUGCCCAGUUUCGGACCGCAAAGCCCUGCAGAGGAUAGUGAGGACAGCUGAGAAGAUCAUUGGGGUCUCUCUUCCCUCCAUCAAAGACAUUUACAAAAACACUGUAUCCGCAAAGCAACCAGCAUUGUGGACGACCCCACACACCCCUCACACAAACUCUUUACCCUCCUCCCGUCUGGCAAGAGGUAACGAAGCAUUCGGGCCCUCACGGCCAGACUGUGUAACAGCUUCUUCCCCCAAGCCAUCAGACUCCUCAAUACUGGUUUGACACACGCACACGCCCUGAGUUGCACUUUAAUUACUGUCACUUUAUAACUGUCUGCUACCCCAAUAAUUGUUAUGUGCAUAGAACACUAUCUCAUAGUAUGUUAUGUUUACAUUUUUAGAAACUGUCAUCUUUUGCACUACUGUGUACUGGUCGGCGCUGCACUUUGUCUAUUGUCCUGUUCAUUGUCAGAAAUUUGUUGUACUGUCCCGUACUUUUUGCACGUGCACUUUAUAUAGGUGUAUAUAUAUAUAUAUAUAUAUAUAAGGUAUUUUCUUUCGUUGUGUAGUCUCAUGUGGUCCUGUGUUGGUCCUUUGUUGUUUUUAUGUAGCACCAUGGUCCAGGAGGAACGUUGUCUCGUUUUGCUGUGUACUGUAUAUGGUUGA